This 133-nucleotide ribosomal RNA is filed under the name uncultured bacterium. Its description in RNAcentral is "partial 16S ribosomal RNA". The record is from RNAcentral.
GUACCGUCAAUCGCCUAGCCUAUUCGACUCUGCGCCUUUCUUCCCCUCUGACAGUGGUUUACACCCCGAAAAGGCUUCCUCCCACACGCGGCGUCGCUGCGUCAGGCUUUCGCCCAUUGCGCAAUAUUCCCCA